RNAcentral lists this transfer RNA (73 nucleotides) under Trichonephila clavata. It matches the Rfam family "tRNA". Rfam says of the family: Transfer RNA (tRNA) molecules are approximately 80 nucleotides in length. Their secondary structure includes four short double-helical elements and three loops (D, anti-codon, and T loops). Lineage: Eukaryota; Metazoa; Arthropoda; Arachnida; Araneae; Nephilidae. The record is from Rfam by way of RNAcentral.
GCCGCUAUAGCUCAGUGGCUAGAGCGUUGGUCUCGUAAACGCAAAGUCGCGAGUUCGAAUCUCGUUGGCGGCA